Molecule: long non-coding RNA, 562 nt
Organism: Hibiscus syriacus
Lineage: Eukaryota; Viridiplantae; Streptophyta; Magnoliopsida; Malvales; Malvaceae
Exons: 2
Source: RefSeq, a predicted model, not a curated record
UAGUAUAUUUAUUACGACUUUCUUCAUUUCUCUUAUUACACUCCAAACUAUUGGCAGAAGGACUCGGUCGAAAAGAGUUUUAUCUAUUCUUCGAUAAAAGAUGGCCGUGAAACCAACAGUAGCAUUGAGGGCUUUCCUUGUUGGAGGGAUAGCUGUUUUUGCUAAAGUAGCAGGGGCAAUGAAGGCUGCGGUGGUGCUAAGCUGGGUGCUGCUGCAGCUGCCAUGACUGUGGCUGCAUCAGCUGCUAAGACAGGGGACCCAAGAGAUGGAUCUAAGCAACCUCCAAAAUGAUAUGCCUUCUCUCCUCUUUCUUUCUGCGGCUUGUAGACGUUUGUAUUUUAGGUAGCAUACUUGGCUGCUCACAGGGAAGCUUGUCGAGAGCAGAUGGCUAUGCUUGGCGUUCCGUUUUUAGUCAUUACUGAGUUUUCUUUUGAAAUCACUUGAAAUAAGAAAAACCAACGUUUUGUAUUUGAAUUAAGCAGAAGAUGGUAUGUUGCUAUUCAAGUACAAACGUGAAUGUUUCUCUUACAUUCUAAAGCAUAAAGUACAGCUGUUUCAUUUG